AUUGAACGCUGGCGGCAGGCUUAACACAUGCAAGUCGAGCGGGGUGAUGGUGCUUGCACUAUCACUUAGCGGCGGACGGGUGAGUAAUGCUUAGGAAUCUGCCUAUUAGUGGGGGGCAACAUCUCGAAAGGGAUGCUAAUACCGCAUACGUCCUACGGGAGAAAGCAGGGGAUCACUUGUGACCUUGCGCUAAUAGAUGAGCCUAAGUCGGAUUAGCUAGUUGGUGGGGUAAAGGCCUACCAAGGCGACGAUCUGUAGCGGGUCUGAGAGGAUGAUCCGCCACACUGGGACUGGGACACGGCCCAGACUCCUACGGGAGGCAGCAGUGGGGAAUAUUGGAAAAUGGGGGGAACCCUGAUCCAGCCGUGCCGCGUGUGUGAAGAAGGCCUUAUGGUUGUAAAGCACUUUAAGCGAGGAGGAGGCUCUUUUGGUUAAUACCCAAGAUGAGUGGACGUUACUCGCAGAAUAAGCACCGGCUAACUCUGUGCCAGCCGCCGCCGUAA
RNAcentral lists this ribosomal RNA (503 nucleotides) under uncultured bacterium. RNAcentral's name for it is "partial 16S ribosomal RNA". It matches the Rfam family "Bacterial small subunit ribosomal RNA", at positions 30 to 523 of the family's 1533-position model. The record is from RNAcentral.